RNAcentral lists this long non-coding RNA (2414 nucleotides) under Sus scrofa (pig). RNAcentral's name for it is "lncRNA (ENSSSCG00025065104.1)". The record is from RNAcentral. Lineage: Eukaryota; Metazoa; Chordata; Mammalia; Artiodactyla; Suidae.
UUGCGGACCAUAAACAGGCUGUUGACAACAAAUUUUGUAGUACAAGAUAAGUGAAAUGUAGAUAUAUAUAUAUAUAAUAAAUUAUAUCAUAUAUAUUAUUCAUGUAUAUAAAAUUUGGAGAUCUUACUAUUAUUUAAACUGUACUAUAAAUUUAUCUUGAUUUAAAUGUCUUCAUAAUUAUGAUAGUUAGAUUAUAAUGCUAAAAUAUAGUGACUCUAUUAGAACAGAUGUCAAUAGCUUUUUUAUUCAGCUGGUUUCAGAUGAGGAAACCAUGGCCCAGGAAGUUUGGGUAGCCCUAAGCUCUACUGUAGCAAACUAUUCAGUGCCGCGAAAGAAAAGCACCCACCCUGUCACAAAUGAUAUUUAGACUAGAGAACCAACACCUAAAUCCUGACCAUAUAAACCUCUGCUGAGCCCCAAUGCUAAAAAAGUAUUUAGAGCAAAUAGCACACAUUACUCCAAUCUUCCAGAGUAUUCUUCAGUUUUUCCCUACUUCAGGAAAAGACACAACAAUCUUUUGCACUGUAUAAUAUUCCCUAAGUCCUUUUUGAGUAUGAUUCAUGUCACCUUAUAGGUGAAAAAGCAAGCAUUCAGAGAAAGGGUUCACUGAAUUUUCUAAAACUGGUAGAGCGGACGCAACAUCACUACCAUUUAGCAAUGAUGAACAGGAGAUUGCUGAUUUUCUUUAAGUUGCAGUUUCAGGUAGAGACUUUCGCUGGUGGAUUAAAGCCACUUAAGACAGUUAAGGAAAGGACAGUAGAAUUGGAAGAAAUUCCCAACUGCCACUUUGAAUAGGGAUUUCUGCAAGUUUCUCAGGCUGUGGAAUAUCAAAUGGGGCCCACGUGAGCCGUCUCAGAGCAGUUACAAAAGAAAUGAGAGCGUGGGUAGACCUUAAGCUCUACCGCAGAAUCAAACAGACACACUGGGAGUUCCCACUGUGGUGCAGUGGAAACUAACCUGGCUAGGUUCCAUGAGGAUGCAGGUUCCAUCCCUGGCCUUGCUCAGCGGGUUGGGUAUCUGGCAUUGGUGUGAGCUGUGGGAUAGGUCGCAGACUCGGCUUAGAUCCCUCAUUGCUGUGGCUGUGGUGUAGGGCUGUAGCUCCCUAAAAAGCAAAACAAACAAACAAAAAACCAAAUAGACAUACUGAACACUUUAUUAGUUUCUGAUUGUUGGUUCGCUUCAAAGUGAAAAUAUUUAAACUGGAGAAAAUAUGUGAGAUAUUGAGUGGACUGUUUCGUAAGAUAUUACAGCCCUUCCAGUACCAUUUGGCAUUCCUGGGAUCUAGUGCUUAUGGAGACUCUCUCCAUCUAUGUCAAGAGUCGAAAGUAUAGAUUGUUUUGUUUUGUUUUUUUUUGCUUUUUAAGGCUUUAUCCAUGACAUAUGGAAGUUCCCAGGCUAGGGGUCAAAUCAGAGCUACAGCUGCCAGCCUACACCACAGCCACAGCAAUGCCACAUCUGAGCCAUGUCUGCUACCUACACUAGAGCUCACAGCAACACCGGAUCCGGAUCCUUAGUCCACUGAGGGAGGUCAGGGAUCGAACCUAUAUCCUUAUGGAUACUAAUUGGAUGCAUUUCUGCUGAGCCACAAUGGGAACUCCAAAAAAAAGAUAGCUUUUAAUGAUCACAGCUGGUAGACGUUAACUGGAGUAUUCUAGAAAUAACAGUGUUAUUUGUUCUCAAGAAGUUCCCUCAGUAUUUUCCAAGUGAAAAUGUAUUCCUUUGACUAGGCUUUGACCAAAGUUUCAGGAUCUAACCUUAGAAAAGUCUUUAACUUUCAAAGACUAUUAUUCAAGACCUUUUAGGACAUAAUUGCGACUAUUCCAAGAUAAUCUGGGUUUAAGCCUGUUUAGAAGAAACUGCUCACAGGCCGAGACUGCAGACCUUCUCACGGCACUAAUUCAGGUGCCUUCCAGCAAGGAUGUUUGCCAUGACACCUCCUCUCCAAUUCUACUGAGUCUACACAUAGUUCUUCAGGAUUUUGUCAUUUAAUCUCUGGACUUCCCAGUCAUGGCUGGAACUCCAGGUCUGGUCCAAGUAGGUCCAGAAGGAAGAGUUCUGCAGGGUCAAGCAACAAGGAGGGGGUGUUGGGGACCAUACAGACCUGCAUUGGCACAUUGGUGUCAGGGUAGGAAAACGGCCAUAGACCAUCAACACAACCCCAGCCGCUGGUCCACCCUAGGACUCUGCUCACAGCCACCUUAAAUCCACCCUGCUCAUCUUUUUAAAAUCAUAUGAAUGUUGAAGUGUUGUCUCUUUUAUUAUUAUUUUUAAUUUUGUCUCUUUCCUAGAUUCUCUUUCAGAUUUUUCCCCCUUCAGCUUUGAUAUUUUGGUGUGUGUCCUUCACUCUCUACCCAAUAAGCUCCAAUAAUGUUAAAGAAGAGAAAAGAAAAAAAGAGAAAAGAAGAAAAAAAAAA